AUUGAACGCUGGCGGCAGGCUUAACACAUGCAAGUCGAGCGGAGACUUCGGUCUUAGCGGCGAACGGGUGAGUAAUACCUAGGAAUCUGCCUAUUAGUGGGGGAUAACGAAUCGAAAGGUUCGCUAAUACCGCAUACGUCCUACGGGAGAAAGGGGGGAUCUUCGGACCUCUCGCUAAUAGAUGAGCCUAGGCCGGAUUAGCUAGUUGGUAGGGUAAAGGCCUACCAAGGCGACGAUCUGUAGCUGGUCUGAGAGGAUGGCCAGCCACACUGGAACUGAGACACGGUCCAGACUCCUACGGGAGGCAGCAGUGGGGAAUAUUGGACAAUGGGGGCAACCCUGAUCCAGCCAUGCCGCGUGUGUGAAGAAGGCCUCGGUU
This 379-nucleotide ribosomal RNA is filed under the name uncultured bacterium. Its description in RNAcentral is "bacterial SSU rRNA". It matches the Rfam family "Bacterial small subunit ribosomal RNA", at positions 30 to 424 of the family's 1533-position model. The record is from RNAcentral.